GACGAACGCUGGCGGCGUGCCUAAUACAUGCAAGUAGAACGCUGAAGAGAGGAGCUUGCUCUUCUUGGAUGAGUUGCGAACGGGUGAGUAACGCGUAGGUAACCUGCCUUGUAGCGGGGGAUAACUAUUGGAAACGAUAGCUAAUACCGCAUAACAAUGGAUGACACAUGUCAUUUAUUUGAAAGGGGCAAUUGCUCCACUACAAGAUGGACCUGCGUUGUAUUAGCUAGUAGGUGAGGUAAUGGCUCACCUAGGCGACGAUACAUAGCCGACCUGAGAGGGUGAUCGGCCACACUGGGACUGAGACACGGCCCAGACUCCUACGGGAGGCAGCAGUAGGGAAUCUUCGGCAAUAGGGGCAACCCUGACCGAGCAACGCCGCGUGAGUGAAGAAGAUUUUCGGAUCGUAAAGCUCUGUUGUAAGUCAAGAACGGGUGUGAGAGUGGAAAGUUCACACUGUGACGGUAGCUUACCAGAAAGGGACGGCUAACUACGUG
This 497-nucleotide ribosomal RNA is filed under the name uncultured bacterium. RNAcentral's name for it is "partial 16S ribosomal RNA". It matches the Rfam family "Bacterial small subunit ribosomal RNA", at positions 28 to 507 of the family's 1533-position model. The record is from RNAcentral.